GACGAACGCUGGCGGCGUGCCUAAUACAUGCAAGUUGAGCGCUGAAGGUUGGUACUUGUACCGACUGGAUGAGCAGCGAACGGGUGAGUAGCGCGUGGGGAAUCUGCCUUUGAGCGUGGGACAACAUUGGGAAACGAAUGCUAAUACCGCAUAAAAACUUUAAACACAAGGUUUAAGUUUGAAAGAUGCAAUUGCAUCACUCAAAGAUGAUCCCGCGUUGUAUUAGCUAGUUGGUGAGGUAAAGGGUCACCAAGGCGAUGAUACAUAGCCGACCUGAGAGGGUGAUCGGCCACAUUGGGACUGGGAACCGGCCCAAACUCCUACGGGAGGCAGCAGUAGGGAAUCUUCGGCAAUGGACGAAAGUCUGAACGAGCAACGCCGCGUGAGUGAAGAAGGUUUUCGGAUCGUAAAACUCUGUUGGUAGAGAAGAACGUUGGUGAGAGUGGAAAGCUCAUCAAGUGACGGUAACUACCCAGAAAGGGACGGCUAACUACGUG
Molecule: ribosomal RNA, 497 nt
Filed under: uncultured bacterium
Lineage: Bacteria
Description: partial 16S ribosomal RNA
Rfam family: Bacterial small subunit ribosomal RNA
Source: RNAcentral